Molecule: non-coding RNA, 5868 nt
Organism: Lolium perenne
Lineage: Eukaryota; Viridiplantae; Streptophyta; Magnoliopsida; Poales; Poaceae
Source: RefSeq, a predicted model, not a curated record
UCUCCUCUCCGGCGAGCCGCCGCCGCUCUCCUCAGCGCCCCCAUCCCGCCGCCACCUCCCCCUCCUGCGCCUCCUCUCCCAAUCCCCUUCUGCACGGGCGACGGGCGGCGCGGCCGACCUCGGCGCGGGAGACCUCCGCAGGAGCCGGCAUGAGAGAGGUUGGUGUUGCAGCUUCUUGACGGGAGGAGCUGCAGGUGGCCGCUGCUUGGCAGCUUCUUGCGUCUCUCCCUCGAGCGCUCUGGUGCUCCCUCAAUCUGCCCUCGCGUCAAUUCAUCUCCAUGGCAUGUUCAUCCUCUCUCUCUCUCUCUCUCUGAACCCCUUGUGACGGGAAAAGGUGGAGGUUGCCGGGGUGGCCGCAGGAAAAAAUAUAAGGAAGAAUCAAUUAUUGUUAUAGAUCUCUUGGGAUUUUUGGUAUAGGUUGAUUCGAUUCCAUUUUAUACAAGUAUAUGAAGGUACAAUCAUUGUCAAACAGCUUAUUUCCAUUGGGGGCCUUUUGCUUACAUGUACGUAUGUAGUUUAUUUCUCUAAGUUGUCCUCUGAGCAUUUUAAUUUGACAAAUUCAUAUAUGAACUAGGAUUAUUUAUCUCUGCCUAGCAGUAGUGCCUUGUUAGUAUUUGUGUCUCAACUGGAAAUUAAUUUUGUUACUUAUCUGCCAUAUGCACAGGUUGGUAGGUAAGGCUUAGAAUUCUUAAAUAUGUUUAUCUAGAAUUAUAUUUACCAUUGUUAAUGCACCAAAUUAGUGACAAUCGUCUACUUCACAUUGUCUUAAUGUUGUUUUGACGUUGUCCUUCCAGUUCUUAUUCAUUGUCCUUCCAUUUCUUAUUCAGCAAAGGAACAAUGGACGAUAUGAAGCAGCAACGGAAGGAAGAGGUGAACCUACAUAUCAGCUCUUGGAAUUGCAUCGGCAUCAACAUCCAUGUGUUCAAGGAGUUGAUAUCUGCAUGGAACCUCGGCCCUGGAGAUCGAUUGGUACGAGGAGCAGGUGUUGGUCGCCAUUGCGACACUUGUGCUGGUCGGGCAAUCUGGCACUGUUGGCAUAUACCCAGUAUAUUGAUGUGUCCUCCAAAUAUUGAUGCUUUCCUGGUUGGGAGUACCAUUCGGAGAUGAAGGUGCCAGUUUAUUCAACCAUAUAACAGAAAUUGAUAGUAGGGCUUGGAUGGCAUCUCCUCUCGGUGUUGAUAGUCAGAGCAUAGGCCGAUAUGCUUUCCAGGACAAAUUAAGCAAGCAUCAGAUUAGUAGUUUUUUCAAAGGUUUAUCGUGUAUGAUCUCGCAUGAUUUUAUCGUAUGCUUAUGUUGUGUACCAACACUAAUUCAAAGGUUGCGUCUUAAUUUGAACGAGUUGAAAGUAAAAUUCAGAGAGGAAGGGGUCAAUUUGUUCAACCUACACAAAGUACAUUUGGUAUUUGGCCUUCUUCUCCGUAUCUCUUAGCUUGUGAAUAGUUAUGUGCUGGAUAUCUAAUUGACGUACAAGUUCAUCAUAGGAUGGAUGAUCUGAACAUUUUUAUCUGAUGGUAACUACCUCAUAUCCAAUCUCAGCAUUAUUAUUUCGAGAUACCUCUAUUUUUUCUCAGUAUCUCUUAGCUUGUGAGUUGUGAAUAGCUAUGUUUGUUGACAUUUCACGCUAUGUCUUGAGGAAUGAUGGAAAGAAUGUCUUGCAUGAGUUGUAUCUCUGAAUUUAUCUAUAAGGAUGCUCUCAAUUAUUUAUACAUGUACAGAUAGCACAAUGGACUUGUGGAAUUGUUUAUUAUUUAGCUUUCAAGCUUUCUCUGGCCCCUAGGCUGCAUAAUUUUGUUUCUUGCUGCACCUAAAAUUUAACAAGUUCAUAACAUAUCAGUUCUCACAUAUGAAUGUACACUGCACCUAAUUGGAAUUUUGUUCAGUUCCCAUAGAUACUUGGGUUAUUUUAUUUUUGGCUUUGUUAUCUGUGCAAGUUUAAUUUGGUGAUAUUUUGAUUUUGGCAUCGCGAUAACUACAGAAAGACCUGUAUAUUUAUGGCAUGGCAAUAAUCUACAGAAAGACAAGUAUAUGUGGCCUCAUGUUACACAGCCCCUUACAGUUUAAGUUCAGACAAACAGUGUCACUUUCACUUUAGAUUCAGUUGACCAUUUACAAAUAUGUUUGUUUCUCCUGUUAUGUCGAAGUCAAAUACAUGUAACCUAAUUUAAUUUCUCUUUUCAUUAUCUUUCUUUCGUGAUGACCUGAUGGGUCGCCAUUUUCUUGGUUUCGUUGGUAACCCAGGAUGUUCUAAUGGACAUGGUUAUAUAUUUAUUCAACUUCGCCGAGAAACAAAGUUCGUAUAUUCUCUUUUUGAUUUAAUUGGAGAAAAUUUACUUAUAAAAAUAUGACAUGGUAUGCUCUGUUAAAAAUAUGGGCAUAUUUGGACUAUCAUAUUGUAGUUCCAAACCAUACAAUUAUCUUGGCCAUUGGUGAAUGUUAAUAUUUUGGAACUGCUACCAAUUGCAUUAUGCCUUGCUGUCGUGUGUACAUUGUGCCAUGGUUCUGCCUCCCUUUGAAAUGCCUGUAUUAUGUGUAGGCUAUCCAAUUUUAGUGUCUAUCACAAGUUUACAUACCCUUCAUUGUGAGGACCUCUGUAUUUUAUUUCAGUUUGCAUUCAUGUAGGUCUCCUUAUCGCUUUUCAGUUUCUAGGUGCCAUAAGGUCUCCCUUUCAAGAUAAAUCCACCCAGGUGACUGAGAGGUAUUCAGUUGUGCUAUUAUUUUCUUUCAAGUUUAGAGACUUUGAUUGUGUUAAAUUUAUCAAUGUUUUAUUUUAGAUUGCACAUUAAGUUUUAAUGUUGUAUUCGCUUUGUAGAACCAUUUAUUUGCAUAUCUUUUAUUUUCUUGGUCAGAAAGCUUGACCCCAAAGAGAGAAAAUAUCUUAGUCAUGUUUCCACGUGCUUUUGUGUUGUAAUAUGCUAGACGUUCGGCUCAAUCUCAGUCUUUUGUGUUGUACUAUGCGAAUGUGAACGUAGCUAUUGUAAUAUACCAACUCUGGGUUGUGAUUAUUUAUCCUAGAAUCUCCUGAUUGAUAUAAUGUGCAGAUUAUCCGUUGGACUUCAAAUGCUCCUUUUUCUAACAUAUACUCUCAAAUCGACCUGCCCAGAAUAUUCUAUAAAAAAUACAUAAAAUUGAACAUAUCUUUGUGACUGAUCCAGUAAAGUUUCAUUCCAUUUCGGUGAGUAGUUUGAGAGAUGCUUGAUUUGAAUGUCACUUUCAAAUUUUAACCAAAAACAUAAAGAUUCCACUGAAAUAUUGAAAAAAUCCCAAUAAUUCAACUGCACCCAUGUAAGAAAUCUUGGAAAGUUUCACUCUAUUUGGGAUAGUGAUUUGAGAUAAUGCUUGAUUUGAAUGUUCACUUCCAAAAUUUGACCAGAUAUCUAAAGUUUCUAGGAAAUUUUUUUCCUGCAAUUCAAAUAAAUGCAUAUAAGAGAUCUGGGAAAGAUUCACUGUAUUUGGGCCAGUGGCAUGAGAGAAUGAUGCUUCUGAAAAUGACUUAUAUCCACAGUACAUUACAAACUGUCACACACAGCAAGAAGCUGCAAAGAGUAGCAGACUCAAGCAACAUGCAGAGGCGAGCGGCACCGACACGCAGAGGGGCCAAUAGCUAGCUGCACGUCUGCAGAGAGAUGCGGCAGUGUCGUCCCCUGGAAAUCCUAAUUAAGUUCACACCAUAUAUAUUAACACAUUGGCAAUAAUUUGUAGAACCAAUAAUUCUAUGCAUCCCUAUUUAUCUCUAAAAAGCAUUGUUCUUCUGUAUAUAGAGUCUAUGUCACACUGAUGCUUCUUUUUUCCUGAGCACGUGCCAUGUAAAUUGGUGUGAAUUUCAUGGGAUCGUGUGCCAAGGCACACUACUAAUCUUGAAUGAUGAUUUGUUGUGUUCACCUGCAGCAUCUUUUAACCUCACCUGAUAAAAAUUGGAGGCUGCAAGUUAUAUAAAGUGUGCCAUAGUUAUUUGAGAAUAUUUGGUACUCAAAAGGAAUUUGGUGUGGUUCUAUUACCACUUUCUAGAUUGAGGUUUUGUUUUAUUUUUGUUGCAAUUAGGAACUUUUGAGUGUUUUCACCGUAACAUGAGAUUUAUGCCACUUUGAAUCACUGUACCAUGCUCACGGUAGGUGAAAUUGCGUGAUUUUCCUUGCCGAUGGUUUAUUCUGUGUAAUCUAGCUUUUGCUUUUGGUUUAUGGAAAUGAUGAAGUAAGAAAGAUGGAAGAACGGUAGUACAUAGACCAAAUUAUAAUUAAGGCAUACUUUUUUUGUGUGUGCUAGGCCUUGAAGAAAACAUCCUACGGGUUAUUAUGGUGUACCAGUUAACAUUGUUUAAGUUUUCCUUGAACAAAAACACUACCCACCACCAUCACAAACCUGGGUCUAAAAUGAAAAUUAGUAAUACUAAAGCUAGAUUUUAAAAAGACAAGUUUGUAUAUUUUCUGGAAUACUCUGCAGUUUUAGGAAUAGAUCCUGAGACAAGCAAAUGAGUGUUCUGUUUUUUUUGUUGUAGUAGCAUAAUCAUCUUUUAACAGGAUUCAGCAAGCAUGUCCAUGCUAAACUGGAAGGCAGGAGUACUAUCUCAUCAGGCUCCUUGGAUCCUCCCAAGAAUAUAGAGUACACGCAUCCAAUCUUAGGACAGCAUGACAAAAAUUGGGUUACCUUCCCUGCUAUUUGCUUAUUUGCAUUCCCGCUAAGGCCUAUAUUUUGCUCUAUGCAUUAGUUGGUUACCUUCCCUGCUAUUUGCUUAUUUGCUUUGCAUAUUUAUACAACAGAAGCCAGUAACUUGUGCACCUACUCUUUAUAGUCUUAUAUACAUGAAACGUUAUUUAUGGAUGUUAUGCUUUAGACUGUGGUUUGCAGUAGCUGUCAUAUUAUGAUGUUUUCUCUACAUUUACAUGCCAACUGACUUUUGUUUGCCUGCCUUGUGGUUCUACCAUAAAAUUUACUUUACUAUUGCCGAUUCGUGUAGCUAUGGUAUAUUCUUUGUUCGUUAGUAAGCUUGCAUGGAGUUAAUACAUAUUUACGGGGUAUAUUCCCUGUGAAUUAUGAGGUAUAAGCAAUCUAAUCAGUGGCUUACAAUUGGAAAUUUGAGUGUUGUAGACUAUCUCCAUAGAUAAAGACUUUUAUUUAUCCGGUUAAUUGUACCAGAUAAUUGUGCAUGGUUCCUGCUUUGGACAAACACUACUUCUAUAAAAAAAUGUAACAUUGUAGUGGCUUAUUGGUGAAUGGUGAUUGAUAGUGUAUACCUUUUCAUGCUUACAGAUAAUCAGCUUUUUUACGUCUGCUUAUUUGGAGAACGUAUUAGAAACAAAGCAUGCAAACAAAUUUGGAGAACAAAAAGAUUCAGUAUGUAAAAAGUGCGGAUUUGUGUAUUAUAUUUUCCUGCAUUAUUUACAUCUGCUUGUUUGUUCACUACUUACCAUCGAUGUGUAUAAACCAAUAGCGUAGUGUUUUAUAAAAUGUAUAUUCAGCGUGAAAGCUAAAGCACCAUUCUUUUACAAAUUUAUCAUUACAAAAGCCGGGGCAUGCGCAGUGUUUUACAUAAUGUUCAUCAGACUACUAUAAUUUUUGUUGGUUGCAGUAAUUAUAUUUACGAAUGUUUUCUUAAUAGUUAUCUAAGCUCCCAUUCUUUUCAUACAGACUGCUGUGGUUUUAUACAGAACUCUGUUCCAGGAGUUGCCUAUUGUGAACCUGAGUGGGAUCUCUUUGUGUAUUUAGCUGUUGUUAUCUCAGAACCAUCUAAAAGUAGAUCUUUCCGUAUAUUUCCCUAUUUACUCUACUGUAUGUAUGUAUCGCAUUUCUCUGCUAUACAGUUUGCUGCUCCGCUCAUGAUAUCAAAUUUGAAACUGAAAUAUUUGCUAUUGAAUUUGUCCCUAUAAUUAUUAC